GGAUCCAGAGGACAGGGGUCCAACAUGAUGGUGUUGGGGUCGCUCACUGUCACGGCACCGUAAGACCCGUCAAAGUCGACGUCCUCGUCCUGAAAUCUCUGGUUGUAUUCCGCACUUUGAGACCGGCCCACGCGCGAAACAAAGGGUCCUCUCCGGCCGCACACACCCCCUCGAGAAACCUGGUUUCCAAUCGCAUAAUCCAGAUGCAGCCGGGCCCCUCUCUGCGCUAUCAGCCGCCGAUCUCGAGCACAGGAAAUAAAAAAAAGCACUGACGUCAGGCGGUCUGGAGCGGGACAAGGGAGGACAGGACGGGCUGCGGCGGUGGGUGACUCAGGCCUGUCGUCAAGCCCCCGCCGCACCCCCCCUCCCCUUGAAACACAGCCAUUAAACUAAUGGGACACUCCAGGCUGUGCCAACUUGCUUCGCGGCAGAGGGAUGCCCCCACCGCCCGCCGGGGUACUAGGGCGAGGCAGGCCACUGCGGGGUGGAGCCAGGGAGCGUCCGGGUGUGGAACCGGCGACAGAGCCGGGGUUGACCGUGGCCUUGACGGGCUGCCUCAAGGCGAGAGGCGAGGGCGUGGCCGGAGUCCGCAGCUUACUGGACGCUGGAACUGAGGAGCGGAAAGACAACAUGACACGACACACCUGGAUGGAAGCUAAGUGAUAAAUGUUGUCAUGACGAGCGUGACAAAGAAUUGAACAAUGUCAGGAACAAAACAUGAAGUAUGUCUUCAUCCACCACGCUUACCAUGAGAAAAAAUUCUGCCUAAACUGGGUGGCAUCAUUACCUCUGCCAAGGAGGCUAUGCGUUUUUAAACUUUUCCUUAUUAUUAUUGUUUAAUGCAGGCGUGUCAAACUCAUUUUAGAUCGGGGGCCACAUGGAGAAAAAUCUACUCCCAAGUGGGCCGGACUGGUAAAAUCACAGUACGAUAACUUAAAAAUAAAGACAACUUCAGAUUGUUUUCUUUGUUUAAAAAUAGAACGAGCACAUUCUGAAAAUGUGCAAAUCAUAAUGUUGUUGUUUUUUUACACUUACAUGUUGCGGUUAAUAGUAUUCUACCUUUAUUUGUCGUUAUUUAUAUUUUCAAUCUAUCAAGCUAAAAAAAAGUAUAUCAAAAUCAAAUUACAGCACGAUAUUUAUGUAGUUUGAUCAUUUUCCUUUACUGAAGUGGUGACAUGUGGUUUAUUUUGUACAUAUGUGGCAUCAUCUACAAAGAUACAAAGAAUUGCUAUUGCGUCAUCCAGUGGACACAUUUAGAACAGCUGUUUCUUUCAUUCAAAAAUUUGCAGUUAAUUUUUAUACUUAGCAAACUCAUCUGGCGGCCCGGAUAAAACCUGUUCGCGGGCCUGAGCCGGCCCUCACGUUUGACACCCCUAGUUUAAUGCUUAAUAGUUUUUCUAACAAAAUGUAUAACUUCAAGCUACUGUGUCACCGACUCAGAAUUACAAGAAAUAAACCAACAUGUAGGAAUAGUUGUUUAAAAGAUCAGAUAAAAUAUGGAUGUUCUGGCUGAAUAAGAUGACUGGUGUUCAUGGCUGACACUCACAUCUGUCUCGCACAUGCGCAUGCCCGUCGCACGUGCACAUACACAAAAGGGAUAUAUGAGAACGAAGGGAUUUUGAAAAACGGAUCGCAUGGUUGCGAUAGUCCUGUUUGACCGGUUAGUAUAAUUAUACCCGUUUUUAAAAUACCGGUGGAUAUAAUACUUGCAGCUUGUUUCAAAGUUAGCGCACUCUGUGGAUGGUUGGUUCUUAGAAUGCAUGAACCUAAACAACAAAAGUAUAUAUGCAGAGGUUAGGUAUUGUGUUUAAUAUGUGUUUUAACUUGCACAGUAUCGGCUCGGCGCAGGUGUACUGAGAACAUGGCGCACUGGUGGAAGUCUGCCAUCGACCGAGUGCCAUUCCGGUUCUUACUGUGAUGACAUGCGCGACACAGACACACACAACCACGCUGAGGGGGAGCCACACAAACAUGACAACAUCAACAACAACAAGAGUCAUGAGCCAGUCAGUAAAUACUCACUAAAGUCACCUUCGUCGCCAAAGCAACAGGAAAGCGGGACUAGACAAAGACAACAGAGACAGG
This is a long non-coding RNA of Nerophis lumbriciformis (worm pipefish), 2085 nucleotides long. RefSeq lists it as uncharacterized. The record is from RefSeq and is a predicted model, not a curated record. Lineage: Eukaryota; Metazoa; Chordata; Actinopteri; Syngnathiformes; Syngnathidae.